Molecule: ribosomal RNA, 254 nt
Filed under: uncultured bacterium
Lineage: Bacteria
Description: partial 16S ribosomal RNA
Rfam family: Bacterial small subunit ribosomal RNA
Source: RNAcentral
UACGUAGGGCGCAAGCGUUGCCCGGAAUUAUUGGGCGUAAAGAGCUCGUAGGCGGCCUGUUACGUCUGCUGUGAAAUCCCGGGGCUUAACCCCGGGCGUGCAGUGGAUACGGGCAGGCUGGAGGCAGGCAAGGGAGAACGGAAUUCCCGGUGUAGCGGUGAAAUGCGCAGAUAUCAGGAGGAACACCGGUGGCGAAGGCGGGUCUCUGGGCAGUAACUGACGCUGAGGAGCGAAAGCGUGGGGGAGCGAACAGG